UACGUAGGGGGCAAGCGUUGUCCCGAUUUAUCGGGCGUAAAGAGCGUGUAGGCGGCUAGGUAGGUCCGCUGUGAAAACUCGAGGCUCAACCUCGAGACGUCGGUUGAAACCACCUGGCUAGAGUCCGGAAGAGGAGAGUGGAAUUCCCGGUGUAGCGGUGAAAUGCGCAGAUAUCGGGAAGAACACCCGUGGCGAAGGCGGCUCUCUGGGACGGUACUGACGCUGAGACGCGAAAGCGUGGGGAGCGAACAGG
This 253-nucleotide ribosomal RNA is filed under the name uncultured bacterium. RNAcentral's name for it is "partial 16S ribosomal RNA". It matches the Rfam family "Bacterial small subunit ribosomal RNA", at positions 524 to 776 of the family's 1533-position model. The record is from RNAcentral.